This 29-nucleotide non-coding RNA is filed under the name Rattus norvegicus (Norway rat). The record is from RNAcentral. Lineage: Eukaryota; Metazoa; Chordata; Mammalia; Rodentia; Muridae.
UCCACUCGAGUGAAAUUGAUAUGGACGAU